This 517-nucleotide ribosomal RNA is filed under the name uncultured bacterium. RNAcentral's name for it is "bacterial SSU rRNA". It matches the Rfam family "Bacterial small subunit ribosomal RNA", at positions 8 to 518 of the family's 1533-position model. The record is from RNAcentral.
AGAGUUGAUCAUGGCUCAGGAUGAACGCUAGCGGCAGGCUUAACACAUGCAAGUCGAGGGGCGAGCGGGAUGUAGCAAUACAUUGCCGGCGACCGGCGGAUGGGUGCGUAACGCGUAUGCAACCUACCUUAUACAGGGGAAUAACCUUUCAAAGGGAGACUAACACCCCAUAGUAUUGAUUUAAGGCAUCUUAGAUUAAUUAAAUAUUUAUAGGUAUAAGAUGGGCAUGCGUAUGAUUAGCUAGUUGGUAAGGUAACGGCUUACCAAGGCGACGAUCAUUAGGGGUUCUGAGAGGAAGGUCCCCCACACUGGUACUGAGACACGGACCAGACUCCUACGGGAGGCAGCAGUGAGGAAUAUUGGUCAAUGGGCGCAAGCCUGAACCAGCCAUGCCGCGUGCAAGGAAGACGGCCUUAUGGGCUGUAAACUGCUUUUACAUAAGACUAACCGUAUAUUUGCGAAUAUACCUGAAUGUGUUAUGAGAAUAGGGAUCGGCUAACUCCGUGCCAGCCGCUGC